Molecule: transfer RNA, 67 nt
Filed under: Homatula wenshanensis
Lineage: Eukaryota; Metazoa; Chordata; Actinopteri; Cypriniformes; Nemacheilidae
Description: tRNA-Ser
Source: RNAcentral
GAGGAAGGCCAGAGGCAGUGAGCACUGCUAAUUCUCACAUUCAUGGUUAAACUCCAUGGCUUCCUUA